UAUAUAGGGAAUAGGGCUCUGGUCAAAAGUAGUGCACUAUAUAGGGAAUAGGGCUCUGGUCAAAAGUAGUGCACUAUAUAGGAAAUAGGGUGCCAUUUGGGACGUAGACUCAGUGUUCUGAGUGUAGGAACUGGAGAGUGGAUCCUUAAAGCAGUACAAAUCAAAAUCAAUUUUAUUUAUAUAGCCCUUCUUACAUCAGCUGAUAUCUCAAAGUGCUGUACAGAAACCCAGCCUAAAACCCCAAACAGCAAGCAAUGCAGGUGUAGAAGCACGGUGGCUAGGAAAAACUCCCUAGAAAGGCCAAAACCUAGGAAGAAACCUAGAGAGGAACCAGGCUAUGGGUGGUGGCCAGUCCUCUUCUGGCUGUGCCGGGUGGAGAUUAUAACAGAACAUGGCCAAGAUGUUAAAAUGUUCAUAAAUGACCAGCAUGGUCAAAUAAUAAUAAUCACAGUAGUUAUCGAGGGUGCAGCAAGUCAGCACCUCAGGAGUAAAUGUCAGUUGGCUUUUCAUAGCCGAUCAUUAAGAGUAUCUCUACCGCUCCUGCUGUCUCUAGAGAGUUGAAACAGCAGGUCUGGGACAGGUAGCACGUCCGGUGAACAGGUCAGGGUUCCAUAGCCGCAGGCAGAACAGGUGUAAGCAGCCACGUAGGUGACAGAAGCCAGGUGAGAGGAUUCUCAGGUGUCCUGAGUUGGGAAACUGGCCUUUGUUUAUGCAGGAUUUAAAGGAGCAAUCUGGGAUUGGUACAUACAUAUAUAUAUAUAUAUAUAUAUUUUAACUUUGAUUCUUGAAGAAUAUAACUUAGAAAUAAAUGAAUCUAGUUAAAUUGUCUGACCCCAUCAGAACUCUAAAAUAUAUGAUUGCAUCACCAGGGAAAACAAUAGGCUGUUCCAUUGACUGUUCCAUCAGUUAUUGAACCCUCAAUAGGCUGACCUGUUUUCCCUGUGAUACAGUCCCACUCUCACCUGAUGUGUGAUGUGAACGUUGCGGGACGGUUUCCCCAGGCGCAGAUUAAGCCAAGUCCUGGAAUUAAAAGCAGGAUAAUCUCUAGUGUAAUAGGUUUUUAUCCUAAGCGCUAGGCUUAAUCUGUGGAAACCGGCCCUCCAUGUUGUAAAACAGACUUUGUAUUGAAACAUC
Molecule: long non-coding RNA, 1134 nt
Organism: Oncorhynchus tshawytscha (Chinook salmon)
Lineage: Eukaryota; Metazoa; Chordata; Actinopteri; Salmoniformes; Salmonidae
Source: Ensembl